RNAcentral lists this long non-coding RNA (736 nucleotides) under Triticum aestivum (bread wheat). RNAcentral's name for it is "long non-coding RNA (TAES_LNC024812)". Lineage: Eukaryota; Viridiplantae; Streptophyta; Magnoliopsida; Poales; Poaceae. The record is from RNAcentral.
CCACACUAGUCAGUGUAAUUUUAAGCUCGCUCGUCUGGCUACAAGAAACCAAACGUAACUAACUCUGUAACUUUAAAACAUCAAAAUUAAAGUGGCUAAAAACAGGAAUCGACAUCUCACAACCAAAAUAAAAGGAAGCUAUCUGAGGUUGGCAUGACGAAAGGAAGCUAACUUCUAGCAACGCCCAAAAAUUGCCAUGAUGACAGAACCCCAGGCAGAUGGGUGUCGUCUUAAGUUACAAGCAAUUCAGAAUUUUAGAAUUCAGAGGCAAGCGCAGUAAGUUACUGCAAUUCAGCACUAGCCACUAGGCAUAUGCUACCUUCACAUCAGUGUCGCUGAGGUUGGCGUGCGGCCACUCCACGGACACUGAGAGGUAUGGUCUGUGUGACAGCGUGGACGCCCAAGGCAGCGGAGCAAUACACCGAUUCCGAACGGCGCGGCGGAGGCACCCAUCAGCGCUGGCGACGCCCUGCACCCGAGCUCCGCCGCGACCACCAAUCCUACCCUGUCGGCACCUUUGCAAAAACAAACACCGUUAGACUGAGGCGGAUAGGGUCGGGGUUGCAGCUGCAGGACUUACAGUCGCGGGGAGCCUGAGCGGAGGAGAGGAAGGGGGUUUUCCAUAUCCUCCAUCCUCCAAUGACGACGGCCGGGACUGGGUUCGGUCCUCGCCGUCGCAGUAUCACACCCACGGCUCACAACCAGGAGACGGUUUGAGUCGCCGGAUCUGAACCAG